GAUGAACGCUGGCGGCGUGCUUAACACAUGCAAGUCGAACGGAAAGGCCCAAGCUUGCUUGGGUACUCGAGUGGCGAACGGGUGAGUAACACGUGGGUGAUCUGCCCUGCACUUCGGGAUAAGCCUGGGAAACUGGGUCUAAUACCGGAUAGGACCACUUCUUGGAUGUUGUGGUGGAAAGUUUUUUCGGUGUGGGAUGAGCUCGCGGCCUAUCAGCUUGUUGGUGGGGUAAUGGCCUACCAAGGCGUCGACGGGUAGCCGGCCUGAGAGGGUGUACGGCCACAUUGGGACUGAGAUACGGCCCAGACUCCUACGGGAGGCAGCAAUGGGGAAUAUUGCACAAUGGGCGCAAGCCUGAUGCAGCGACGCCGCGUGGGGGAUGACGGCCUUCGGGUUGUAAACUCCUUUCGCUAGGGACGAAGCGUUUUUGUGACGGUACCUGGAGAAGAAGCACCGGCUAACUACGUG
RNAcentral lists this ribosomal RNA (468 nucleotides) under uncultured bacterium. RNAcentral's name for it is "partial 16S ribosomal RNA". It matches the Rfam family "Bacterial small subunit ribosomal RNA", at positions 28 to 507 of the family's 1533-position model. The record is from RNAcentral.